UGGACCUACGGGGGGCAGCAGUGAGGAAUAUUGGUCAAUGGCCGGAAGGCUGAACCAGCCAAGCCGCGUGAAGGACGAAGGUGCCAAGCAUUGGAAACUUCUUUUGUCAAGGGACAAAAUCAGGCUCGAGAGCCUGACCGAGGGUACUUGAAGAAAAAGCAUCGGCUAACUCCGUGCCAGCAGCCGCGGUAAUACGGAGGAUGCGGGCGUUAUCCGGAUUUAUUGGGUUUAAAGGGUCCGUAGGCGGACUGUUAAGUCAGCGGUAAAACCCCGGGGCUCAACCCCGGCGCGCUGUUGA
This 298-nucleotide ribosomal RNA is filed under the name uncultured bacterium. RNAcentral describes it as "partial 16S ribosomal RNA". It matches the Rfam family "Bacterial small subunit ribosomal RNA", at positions 332 to 630 of the family's 1533-position model. The record is from RNAcentral.